This 964-nucleotide long non-coding RNA is filed under the name Setaria viridis. Its description in RNAcentral is "long non-coding RNA (SVIR_LNC003606)". Lineage: Eukaryota; Viridiplantae; Streptophyta; Magnoliopsida; Poales; Poaceae. The record is from RNAcentral.
ACCAGUGUUAUAUCAAAUAGCAUAGGUCUAUUUCAUGUCCAUGGAUCAGAUGUGCACCAAGAUCUUGAUCAUCAAAGAAAAAAUUGGUUUGCUGAAAAGAAAGAAGAUAGUACAUUAACGUAGUUUCUCAAGAAGAAAACAGGAGAACAACUCAAAAAAAAAACCCUACACAAGUACUUCAUCACUAUGAGAAAAAUAACACAAAAUGUCUAGAGAGAAAAAAAGGUGCAUGUUGUUAUUACCAAUUAGUAUGAUAGCUGAAACCAUACUAGCUAGCCGCGUUGUUAGCGCGGGCCACUAGCAGAAUGUCAGUUACACGGAAAUUUAACGUCCAUGAUGCAUAAGAGCAUGGCAAUGGGACAGACUUGAACCAAGGAUCAAAAUUAACUAUUCGUGUGAAGCAUGUGCUUAACGGCAAUAUAGUCUUUGAUAGACCAACAGCGUAAGCAACCAGAGGUGGAUGGAAAAGGAGACAUACAAAGUCUAGCAUCUCCAGGAAGGAGCGCUUAGCUUGCACAUGCACGACCAUAUACAGUGGCCAUAAACAAGUGAGGAGGAGAGAACAGGAGACACGGCGAAUGUGCAAGCUUAUUACUCGAUCACAGAACCUACCCACUGCCUUGAGACAGAGAGUAGAUAACCCACACAGUUGCAUUUGAAUAUAUGAUCUUGUGCUGUGGCAUGAUGAAAAGUUAAAAAUUGUAGCAAAAGUACAGUCAGAAGGAAGCGACGCCAACGACGAAGACUGAUGUCCAUGAAUAAUCAACGCAAAUAGGCCAGGAGCGCGUAGCGAUCCUUUACCUUAUCCCACCCUGCCCUGCGAUGUCGUCGACGCGCAAAGAUCAUCACACAACGCGCUAAUCCAUCUCAUGCUAGUUAGAAUUUGUUGAACUUCUUGUCGUCGGAGGCAAGGAAGGAAGGAAACAAAGGGAGGAAAAGUAUCAGAAGAUGUAGGAACGAUUCC